This 333-nucleotide ribosomal RNA is filed under the name Triticum aestivum (bread wheat). Its description in RNAcentral is "partial small subunit ribosomal RNA". The record is from RNAcentral. Lineage: Eukaryota; Viridiplantae; Streptophyta; Magnoliopsida; Poales; Poaceae.
AUGUCAGGGUACUCUUCUCGGUUAACAACAUUAGAUUACACCGUCUGUGUUCAGAGCGAAGUGUUUGUGAUGACUCAAGGGGGGAACUUCCCUCACUUUUUGAUGGGACACAGGCGUUACCUGUUAGGAGGGAAUGCAAAGACAAUAAAACCCAACAAACGGAAGCUGGUCUUAUCUUUUGACGACCCAAAUAUCAGAUGGAGUCGAUUCAAGCACCACAUGCUGGAAAUACUGCACCAUAGUGACAUAAGGGGCAUCACAUUCAGCAAACCUAAUGAUUCCAUAUACACCUUCCCAAUGCCUGAUUGCAUGUGCCAGCAAGAUGGAAUAUGA